CCUGGCUUCUCCUUACGUGGUUGCUUAUCUCGACCCAUGAAUCCUGGCCGCAGGCAGGAGGUCCUCUGCCCCCAGUUCCCAUUCUUGGUCUCAGGGUCCUUGACCCAAGGUGGCUCCAGACUGGAGGAGGGUGGGGCGAGGUGAAACAUGGCUGGCUAGACGGAAGGCCUGGAGGUAUCCUCAAGCUGCUGCUGGCACAGCAAGUGACCUGUGCUUCUCUUAUACUUGGGGUGGCUUGAAGGAGGGGCUCGUGGAGAUUAUGGGAGGAUCAAUCUCCCUCCCAAACCCAGGCUGGUACUGCCUCUAAUCAGGAAAUCUCAACUCUUAGAGACCCCUGGCCUGUGGGUGCACACAGUGCCCUUGGCCCUGAGGUCUGACCCCAAACUGCUCACACAGCUGCUGCCUUGUUGGGGACCCAAGUCUUCCCUAGGGUCCGAGCCAGGGUCUGGGGCUGGUUCAGCUUCAUGGCGCCACCAGGGCCACAGGGGCAGUGGCACGGUCAACCUCUGAGGACAGGUCAAUGAACAGAUGGCUUUUCCGGGCCUGGUAUGACAGAGUCUUACUGGUUCGUUGUUUUGUUUUGUUUUGUUUUGUUUUGAAAUGGAGUCUCGCUCUGUCACCCAGGCUGGAGUGCUGUGGCACGAUCUCAGCUCACUGCAACCUCCUCCUCCCAGGUUCAGGCAAUUCUCCUGCCUCAGCCUCCUGAGUAGCUGGGACUACAGGUGUGUGCCAUCACAUCCGGCUACUUUUUUGUAUUUUUAGUAGAGACGGGGUUUCACUGUGUUAGCCAGGAUGGUCUCGAUCUCCUGACCUCGUGAUCUGCCCGCCUCGGCCUCUCAAAGGGCUGGGAUUACAGGCGUGAGCCACCGCGCCCGGCCUUGUUCAUUUUUAAAAGUCGAAAACUUCAGCAGAAGAAGAGCAAGGAGGUGAAUUUCUAAUCGAUUUAUUUUGCUGAAAUUCUGAGAGAAACACUGUGGUGUGGGGACAGGGAGGAGCUCUUGCACACACACAGGUGGAUCUGCCCACUUUCCACCAGCGGUUUCAUUACUGCGAGUUCAGGCAGAGUCCCGGUGCCGAGCAAAGCGUGGGGCCCCUCCGGGAAGCCCGCAGGUCACUCAGAUCGCAGCGGGCUCCGGCCUGGCCAGGAUUCUGGGGGAGCCGCCCGGAGCGCGGUGAAUCGGGGCGGGGAGAGGGGCGGGGAAGGCGCGCGAAAGCCCCAGCAGAGACCGGCAGCGGCGGGCGGCCCGCGUGGGCUACUGCUGGGGGCUGCGUUCGGGCGAGGAGGGGAGAUUCUGUCUCAGAGGCCUCGGGCUGCACGUUCUUCCGGGCCGCGCAUUUGCAGCCCACAGCAGGCCCCAGCCGGCCCCUCUGGAGUUGGGCCACUGCUUCUGCAGGCCCAGCAGGCCCCUGGGGGCGGCCGGAGGCCACUAACUGGCUUCUCCAGCUCAGCAUUCUUCUCUCAUUUGCUGGGUACCCCACUCUCUUCUCUACCCCUUUGAACCAUCUUUACCCUCAUUCCUCAGGGAACGUUUAACGAGUUGAAUGUUUACCAUGUAGUCACUCUAUAUGGAAAUCAUAAUUCAAUUUUGUAAACAUCAGACUUUGACAAAACAAAUGAUGAUGUUCUUAAGGAAAGCAGAGAGACACAGUGUGAAAUCGCUGCUCUCAGAUCAGCACACGGGAGAGGCCAGCAGUCAGGAGGGGGCUCACCGAGUUUGUCUGCACUCGCUCCCUCCGCAGCCGCCCUCUCCAGCUGGAAGAAGUCGUAAUCGAACCUGCUCAGGUCCUCACUGCCCCACUCCGAAGGAAACCCCACGUACAGGUGAGGUCAGAGGAGUGAAGUGACUUGCCCAAGACCACACAGUGAGUCAGGAGCAGGCCUGUCCCUCCAGCAGUGGUGCCAUGUUGUCCCCAAGCCAUGGUGGCAGAGGAGCUGGUGUGAACGCCCCAUCCUGCCACGUCUGUGAUGUGGGCACCUCACAUGACUGUCCCCUCCCAGCUCUUGGGGGGGACCUAGGACAUUCUGUGAGCCUGCAGGAAAGUUUACCAAAUGCUGCAGCUUUGUCCUGGUGGUGAUGGGCACCCCGUUAACGGCAACCUUGCAUUUGCUAUGUGGAGUGACCGUCACUUUACCGUCGGCAUUUGUGAAGGAAGCGUGUUUAUCUGAAAUUCUAAGAAGAUGAGAGUCAAAGACACCCAGCAAACGGCGGUUUCCGUGAGCAGGGUUGGAGCCCAGGAAGCAAACCAGCACUGCACCCUAGAUUUCAGCCAGAGGACGAAAGCCCUGCCCUCAGCUUUCUCAGACCAGCCCUGGAGUAGGUGGCCCGGGGAGACCUGGGCAGUGUCCCUGCUUGUCCUGCAGACUGUGUGGCUCUGCAGACCUCUAGAUGGAGGAGGCACAAUUCUCUAAUGCUGGACGAGGACACUGAUCAUGGAAACUCACCCCAAACCUUGAAUCGUGAUAGCAUUUGAGGCAGCCUGACCGGUGCCACAUGAACCUGAAAGGAAUCAAGAUAUAAUUUAUUUUGAAAAUAAAUCAGACACUUUCAGAAUUUGAGCGUAAGAAGUUAACAUGUCUGAUGCGUUGGAAGUGACGUUUUCUCUACAGUGGGAUGGUACUGAAGGGAUUUUUCCAGUUGGGAUUUUCAAUCAUAAUGGUACUUAGACAUACUUUUCUUUCUGCCUUGUGUGUGGGGGGAAGAGCGGGGAUGUUCCUAACUUUUAAAAAGUUCCACCUUCUUCAUGAGCAUUCUGGAGGAAGACACCAUUAGGUCUGGGCCUUAGGAGACCCACUGAAUACUGGCCACAGCAGAGGUUCUGGUGUUUGAAGCUCCGUUUCUGUGUAGUGACUGACCCCAAGGAGUGCAGACAUGUCACCCCCCACAUCCCCACAUCCCACGGCCAUCUCGCACGGAGCCCUCGCGGCCGCCCUGGGGGGUGCACGGAGCCCUCGCGGCGGCCCUGGGGGGUGCACGGAGCCCUUGCGGCCGUCCUUGGGGUGCUCGGAGCCCUCGCGGCCGUCCUGGGGGUGCACGGAGCCCUCGCGGCCGUCCUGGGGGUGCACAGCCGGGGAGGGGAAGCCAGGGGCUCCUGCGGUUCUGGGCGCUGUGUUCCAACCUGUUCAGCACUCAUUUAGGUCAGGAAGACAAUUCAACAGCUGAUGCCCUCCUCAGAAACCGCUAAACAAAAAUGUAACAAGAACGAUGCCAGGAUAAUAGAUGAAUAAAACGUGCUGUAUACAUCCGAGGGAAUGGUUUUCAGCCUUCAAGAGGAAGGAAAUUCUCACACAUGCUACAUGGAUGCACCUUGAGGACAUUCUGCUGAGGGCAUAAGCCAGUGAGAGAUGGAUGAAAAGGUCCUUAUCUGAGGUCCCCCAUCGUCAAAUCCACAGAGACAGAAGGUGGGACACUGGCUUCCAGGGCUGGAGGGGGAGGGGUUAUCUGAGGUCCCCCCAUUGUCAAACGCACAGAGACAGAAGGUGGGACAGUGGCUGCUGGACUGGAGGGGGAGGGGUUAUCUGAGGUCCCCCCAUCCUCAAACACACAGAGACAGAAGGUGGGACACUGGCUCCCAGGGCUGGAUGGGGAGGGGUUAUCUGAGGUCCCCCCAUCGUCAAACGCACAGAGACAGAAGGUGGGACACUGGCUCCCAGGGCUGGAGGGGGAGGGGUUAGCUGAGGUCCCCCAUCCUCAAACACACAGAGACAGAAGGUGGGACAGUGGCUGCUGGUCUGGAUGGGGAGGGGUUAUCUGAGGUCCCCCCAUCGUCAAACGCACAGAGACAGAAGGUAGGACACUGGCUCCCAGGGCUGGAGGGGGAGGGGUUAUCUGAGGUCCCCCCACUGUCAAACACACAGAGACAGAAGGUGGG
RNAcentral lists this long non-coding RNA (3870 nucleotides) under Homo sapiens (human). RNAcentral's name for it is "PREDICTED lncRNA (TCONS_00012483)". The record is from RNAcentral. Lineage: Eukaryota; Metazoa; Chordata; Mammalia; Primates; Hominidae.